UGGAUCAAGGAUACAUCUAAAAUCUGCAGGACACCAGCACUCGAGGCCUGGAGUUGCCUGCCCCUGUUCUAAACCUUCCAUUACCUCUAAUUUUGUGUUGCAGCAUACAUGAGCAAACAACCUGCCCCAAGAAGGUUGUCCAGCAUUACAACCUUUAAAAGAAAAAUAAGCAAAUUACAAAAAAUGGUGCACUUUUGAAGAAAAAAAACAAAUCUUCAUGCUUACUCUUGACAAGCUGAUGGUUACGGUGUGAAACGAUUCUCUUUAUAUGAGGCUAGUGAACUAUUAAAGAUGUUUCUGCACAAAACGCUUGGGUGGAGCACAUCGCUGGUUAGCGGCCCGGAUCAGCUGUUUUUUUUGUUUGGUUUUUUUUGAUGAAGAGGAAAGUACCUAAAUGGUUGCGUCAGUUAGAGAAACCUGUGAAGAGAAAACUGCAACUAGUACAAAUUUGUUGACCUAUUCUGCUCUUGUUUCACUGGUAAAUUUGACUGAAUGCAACUGAGAAUGCUGCAGCUGUGGCCUCAAAGCCUUAGCUGUGUCAGGGCUUGUUAUUAUAAGAGGUGUGUCUCUUCCUGUAACUUAAUAUAAAUUGAAUAAAGAGGAAAAGGGUGCUUAGAAAAGUUCAGAUUAUAGUUAUGAAAGGCUUUAAAAAGCAUCAUUGUUUUCAUGUGUUUUGUCUCCAUCACUACUGCCCUGUACUCAUUGCUGUGGAGACGCCAAAGCAGACCUCUCAAAAGAUCUUAGAACAAGUCAUGCAAUACUUCCUUGAACUUACUUACUGGCAGUGAAGUCUGGAAAAAAAAAUAUUUGUCUUACACAACUGAUUUCUUCCUGUGUAUGUCAUGGUCCGCGGCCCGGCGUCCGAGGAGCUGAUGCGAUGCUCACGCCCACGGGCGUGGCUGUUAACUCUACACCUGCAUCUCAUCCCAGGCGAUUAUCAGGUGGACUACUUGAUCCAGCCCAGCCUGCUGCUCCACGCCAGUCCGUAAUCGUCUCACAGCGAUAACUGCUCGGCGUGUUUUUGAGCCACCUGCCUGUCCACCUGCCCGCCUGGAGUUUUUUGAUCACCUUCAGUAUCCCUCACUUUGCCUUCCCUGGAGCUCCCCGCGGACCUUCACCCCUCCCUCCGGCUCUCACGGCCCCGCUUUGACUCCUCCCUCAGUCCCGUUUUCGGCGUUCCUGCGCGACUCUUCUCCCGGUGCCUUGGUUUCUCUAGUUUCACGUGUGUUUUCCUUAACCCUCCCGGGACACCUUUAGUUAGAAUAAAGUUUAUUUUCUCGUACUCCUGCGUGUGUGUUGGCUCUGCUUCUGGGUUCAGCUUGUGCACUGAACUUCGGUUCAUGACAGUGUAUGACUAGAUUUACCCCCUUUAUAAACAAGCCCCCCAAUCAUAAUUAUUCACUAGAGUCCAAAACCCCCUUACAUUUUCCUACAUUUUCUUAAUCUGUGAAAAUGUAAACUAGAACUAGCAAAAUUUACUUGAAUAAAGUAAAAGGAUGCAAAAUUUUGAUAAAGGAAGCUUUUAACUUCAAACAAAUAUUACUAAUAUUCAGUUAAUCAAAUGGUGAGGAUGUCCUGUUUUAGUUUUUAGCAUUUUGUCUUAAUACUGUAAUUUAAUGUGGCACAUCAUAUCACAAAACAUUACCACAUCUGUAAAUGAAAUGUAAUCCAAGUUUCUUUUUUGGUAGCUUGUAUUUUCACGUAAAACGUUUAUAUCGCCUUUUAAGGACACGUACACACAAGCCUUGCCAACAUGAAUAAUCAGGAGUCCUCCAUGAUUAUCUCCAGUCCUCCAUUCCUAACUCAUGAUUAAUAUUUAGCUUUGUUGCAGGCUGUCUUUAAACAGUGUGUCAGUGCAGCUGUUUCCACAGAAGAGCCCAACAGCUGAGAGAGGAUCAAGGCUCCAAAAAGCCGGAUGACAACAUGCACUUUAAAUAAAAGGCUCACAUCAUUUGUAAUUAGGAUUGCACAACAAGUUAAAGACCACUUUGGUGAAUUAUUGCCUGUGGCCUCACAUCCCUUUAAACUAUAUUUAAGGGAGUAAGGGUUUUGCUGAGUAUGUCUUUUUUUGGCUUACACUUUGUGCACAAAGCAAAUACAGUCUGGUGUUAGUCCCACACGUCACGUGUAUGUUGCUCCGGGGAACUUGAGCAGAAGCUGGUGCACAUUAGAAACGGGGAGGAAUUUCAGACGGACUAAAUUAGGGUAAUAGCUUAGCGUAAAUCACGUUCGUCAUGUCUGAAGUGCAUUUUCGUAGCACAGACUACCAUAGCGUCUCAGUUUAACUGUACUUGGGGAUUAUUUUGAGUCUCACGUCCACAUCAGUAUGCUCACAAUUACAGUAACAUUUAGAGUCCCACUGAAUAAUUUUAUUGCAGAUAUUAGGUAUUAGCCUGUCUGCAUCAUCAUUUAUAAUGGCCAAUGAAUAAAAAUUGAAAAGUAACACAAAUGGAAAAAACACCCUUCAACCAUGUCAUGAGUGCUGAUGUUGCAUAGUGUCUGCUGUAAGGCACUCUGCAACUGCAACCAUGUUUCGUGUCUGAAAGAAACGAAAAUGUUGCCCAGUGCAUACAUACAAAACCGUAAAUGUGAACUUCAUGGUAACAUCAGUGAAAUAAAUCACUGGUUCCCUAACAAUGAGAGAUGUCUUGAAGUGUGUUAGAUACUGGGUCAGUUGUAGACCACUAUAUCGCCAUACUCAAUGGUUAUGUUGGUUUAUGGUUGCUCAAAAUCUGUCAUCUUUCUCUUAUUAAGCUGUCAGGUUUCUUGUAUCUUGUGGCUGUUUUGAGUGAAACUUGCAUGAUGUAGUUACAGCACUUUAAAACUCCCGAAAUCAUCUGUAGAUAUUACAUUUUCGUAUUUCUGAAAUCAGUGUGACCUCUUGUACUUUGACAGCUAACCUUUCCUCAUGCAUGUUUACAGAGCAGCGGUGACCCAUGUUAAUUUCGGCCUACUGGCGCCCGUAACAUACGAAGCCCGUAUUGGUGAUUAGCGGGUUGACUUACGUUAGCCAUCAACCAGUCACUCAAACUGUUUCUUGCCAAAACACAGUGUCACUUGGACACGUUGUGGGAUGAGUUUGUUUUUAAUGACAAAGAUCAGGGAAUGCAAAACGUGAUACACUGUGAAUACGUCAUACAGCCACUGUACAUGUUUUUUUUAAAGAGAGGUUACUACCUACUGUCCUUCAUGUAGUUUUAUGUGUGGUGUUUUUUAUUUACUGUCGAAUCAUCUGUUUGCAUUUGUGCUUAAAAAUGUCCAAUCCAGUUGUUUAUCCAUGACUUAAUUCUUUGUACAUCAGUUUUAUUAGACAUGUUGUUUGGAUGAAUACUUACCAUAAUGCUGCACUUGUACCAUAGUCCCAUUACGGGAAGAUGAUUUAAAACAUGACCACGCCAUGUAUAAUUUGGCUGCCAUACAAUCGACUUGGCUGUGCAGACAAGAAGUGAUUAAACAGUGAAGUUUUCAACACUAUGUUGAUUCACAGUCAUGCGUUUGCAGCACACCCAUGCCAUAGAGAGAAGCUGAUAAAACAGAAGUGCAGUCCUAUGCUAAGUGUUCACAGUAAACACUUCAUACCCGGAUGUUUACAGCCUGAGCAGCUUGAUAACUGAUUGGCAUGGCUAUAUCAAAUAAAUUCCAGUAUUUCAAAGGAAACCCAUCUUAUCAGUCUGGUCUCAAGGUUGAUGACUCAUUUUCCUUUUUACUCUUUCGAAAAUAAACUAUAAAGACAUGGAGUUACAUGUGAAAUGCACGACUCGCUUCUUACCAAAACAGCUUUAAAAAUAUGGAAAUAUAUCAAAGUUAUAUUUUAGAUUUGAAAGCUAGCAAAACGGUUCUUUUUGGACAGAUGAGGAUUCUUGAAAUUGAGAGCCUGUUUACAUUUCAAAGCCAUCAGUUACUGCUGUUUUGUCAUAGCUGCUGCAGUCCCACAGAUAUAUGCAUAGUGUGCUUUGGUGUAGGUGCUAAGAUGGACCCAUGUUCAUGGGAACAUGUGUUGCGGUGGAUAAGCAUAACUUUUCAACAUGCUGGGUUAAUAUGGUCAACCACAAUCUUUUCCUUAAACUGAGUAUUUUUGGUGCCAAAACCUGAUCAUGGAGUGAAAGCAAAAUUAUAAAUAUAGUGGUGGUGGUGGGGGGUUGCACGUAAAGGUCCUGAAAGGGAAAAGAACUGCAGUCUUCUGGCAGACAAACUCAUGACUUACUGCAGCACCACCACUCCAUCCUUCAGUCAAGGACUUUGUAGUUGACUAGCAGACUGUUCUCGCUGCUAGUGCGCCGUGGCACUAACACCAUAGACCACUUUGUGCGUAGCUCUCUUGUGCCAGUUGUGAUCUGUCAGCUCAUAUAGGCAAGGUUUGAAAUACAGGAGGAAAGCACAUUAUAAAUGACUGCAUCAGAAGAGGAAUGGUAUAAUAACCGCUGUUUUCUGUCAUUUGCAGGUUCUGGGAUGCAUUAUUGUGACCAAGAUGAAAGUUCAUCAGCUUAAUAAACUCUACACCUACUCUGCACCAACGCUACUUUCCAGCUCUGUCGCAUCCUCAUCCUCUGCAUAUCCCAUUUAUCACUAUCACAUUACACACUGUGAUUGUAGAUCGACUUAACAUAAUGGAAACCUGCACAUUUAAAACUCAUAGCCUAGCUUCUUUCUCCCAGCUGUUAAACUAUUAACUAAAAAACUCAGGGUUUUUAUAGCAAACAUGCACUUUAUUUUUUAUUAUUUAUUUAUUACUUUAUAUGAAGGUACUUAAAAAUAAUUAAACAGAUCAGUUAUUUUAUUAUUUUAUAACCAUGACCUCCUUGAGCCUGGUUCUGAU
Molecule: long non-coding RNA, 4816 nt
Organism: Oreochromis niloticus (Nile tilapia)
Lineage: Eukaryota; Metazoa; Chordata; Actinopteri; Cichliformes; Cichlidae
Exons: 3
Source: RefSeq, a predicted model, not a curated record